This 539-nucleotide ribosomal RNA is filed under the name Bifidobacterium longum subsp. suillum. RNAcentral describes it as "bacterial SSU rRNA". It matches the Rfam family "Bacterial small subunit ribosomal RNA", at positions 147 to 700 of the family's 1533-position model. The record is from RNAcentral. Lineage: Bacteria; Bacillati; Actinomycetota; Actinomycetes; Bifidobacteriales; Bifidobacteriaceae.
CUCCUGGAAAACGGGUGGUAAUGCCGGAUGCUCCAGUUGAUCGCAUGGUCUUCUGGGAAAGCUUUCGCGGUAUGGGAUGGGGUCGCGUCCUAUCAGCUUGACGGCGGGGUAACGGCCCACCGUGGCUUCGACGGGUAGCCGGCCUGAGAGGGCGACCGGCCACAUUGGGACUGAGAUACGGCCCAGACUCCUACGGGAGGCAGCAGUGGGGAAUAUUGCACAAUGGGCGCAAGCCUGAUGCAGCGACGCCGCGUGAGGGAUGGAGGCCUUCGGGUUGUAAACCUCUUUUAUCGGGGAGCAAGCGAGAGUGAGUUUACCCGUUGAAUAAGCACCGGCUAACUACGUGCCAGCAGCCGCGGUAAUACGUAGGGUGCAAGCGUUAUCCGGAAUUAUUGGGCGUAAAGGGCUCGUAGGCGGUUCGUCGCGUCCGGUGUGAAAGUCCAUCGCUUAACGGUGGAUCCGCGCCGGGUACGGGCGGGCUUGAGUGCGGUAGGGGAGACUGGAAUUCCCGGUGUAACGGUGGAAUGUGUAGAUAUCGG